RNAcentral lists this ribosomal RNA (443 nucleotides) under uncultured bacterium. RNAcentral's name for it is "partial 16S ribosomal RNA". It matches the Rfam family "Bacterial small subunit ribosomal RNA", at positions 338 to 795 of the family's 1533-position model. The record is from RNAcentral.
CCUACGGGUGGCAGCAGUGGGGAAUAUUGGGCAAUGGGCGCAAGCCUGACCCAGCAACGCCGCGUGAAGGAAGAAGGCUUUCGGGUGGUAAACUUCUUUUCUCAGGGACGAAGCUCGUGACGGUACCUGAGGACUAAGCCACGGCUAACUACGUGCCAGCAGCCGCUGUAAUACGUAGGUGGCAAGCGUUAUCCGGAUUUACUGGGUGUAAAGGGCGUGUAGGCGGGACUGCUAGUCAGAUGUGAAAACCAUGGGCUCAACCUAUGGCCUGCAUUUGAAACUGUAGUUCUUGAGUACUGGAGAGGCAGACGGAAGUCCUAGUGUAGCGGUGAAAUGCGUAGAUAUUAGGAGGAACACCAGUGGCGAAGGCGGUCUGCUGGACAGCAACUGACGCUGAGGCGCGAAAGCGUGGGGAGCAAACAGGAUUAGAUACCCUUGUAGUC